CAUGCGAAAGACCCUUCACGGGGUUGUAUUUAUUAGCCUAAAAACCAACAGUUCUUCGGAACAAUUGGUGAUUCAUAAUAACUGUCGAAUCGCAUGGCUUUAUGCCAGCGAUAGAUCAUUCAAGUUUCUGACCUAUCAGCUUUGAAUCGUAGUGUAUUGGACUACGAUGGCUAUGACGGGUGACGGAGAAUUAGGGUUCGAUUCCGGAGAAGGAGCCUGAGAAACGGCUACUACAUCUAAGGAAGGCAGCAGGUGCGCAAAUUACCCAAUUGGAAUUUCCAGAGGUAGUGAAGAUAAAUAACAAUACCGGACGUUUUUGCGCCUGGUAAUUGGAAUGAGAACAAUUUAAAUACUUUAUCAAGUAUCAAUUGGAGGGCAAGUCUGGUGCCAGCAGCCGCGGUAACACCAGCUCCAAUAGCGUAUAUUAAAGUUGUUGCAGUUAAAAAGCUCGUAGUUGGAUAUCUGUUUUCAUUGUCUAGUCCGCUCUAACGAGUGUGCACUGGUACGAUGAAAUCAUCCUUUCAGAUCUGACCUAACGGUCUAUUCAGAAUCCUUUACUUUGAAAAAAUAAGAGUGUUCAAAGCAAGCGUUUUGCUGUGAAUUCAUUAGCAUGGAAUAAUAAAAUAGGACUUUGGCCUAUUUUGUUGGUUUCUUGGUCCAGAGUAAUGAUUGAUAGGGACAGUUGGGGGUGCUUGUAUUAAACGGCCAGAGGUGAAAUUCUUGGAUUCGUUUAAGACAAACUACUGCGAAAGCAUUCACCAAGGAUGUCUUCUUUAAUCAAGAACGAAAGUUGGGGGAUCGAAGACGAUUAGAUACCGUCGUAGUCUCAACCAUAAACUAUGCCGACUAAGGAUCAGCAAAUGUUUUUUAAAGACUUUGUUGGUACUUUAUGAGAAAUCAAAGUUUUUGGGUUCUGGGGGGGAGUCUGGUCGCAAGGCUGAAACUUAAAGGAAUUGACGGAAGGGCACACAAGGAGUGGAGCCUGCGGCUUAAUUUGACCCAACACGGGAAACCUUACCAGGUCAGGAGACAUUGAGGAUUGACAGAUUGCAGAUCUUUCUUGAUUAUGUCAUUAGUGGUGCAUGGCCGUUCUUAGUUGGUGGAGUGAUCUGUCUGGUUAAUUCCGUAAACGAACGAGACCAACGCUUACUAAAUAGUUAUACGUAUCUUCGGGUACGCUGUAACUACUUAGAAGGACUGUCGGCUUUUAGCCGAAGGAAGCGCUUGGCAAUAACAGGUCUGUGAUGCCCUUAGAUGUCCUGGGCUGCACGCGCGCUACACUGUUGCAUUCAAUGAGCUUCUUCCUCAUUGAAAAAUCUGGGUAAUCUUUCAAAUUGCAACGUGUUGGGGAUUGAUUAUUGCAAUUAUUAGUCAUGAACCAGGAAUUCCUAGUAAAUGUGAGUCAUCAGCUCACAUUGACUGCGUCCCUGCCUUUUGUACACACCGCCCGUCGCUCCUACCGAUUGAAUGAUCCGGUGAAAUCUUUGGACUGCGUAUAGAAAGUGGAAACAUUUACUGUAUGUGGGAAGUUGAUUGAACCUUAUCAUUUAGAGAAGGAGAAGUCGUAACAAGGUU
This 1575-nucleotide ribosomal RNA is filed under the name metagenome. RNAcentral describes it as "SSU rRNA". It matches the Rfam family "Eukaryotic small subunit ribosomal RNA", at positions 170 to 1801 of the family's 1831-position model. The record is from RNAcentral.